AAAUACAUUUAUCCUGACAUUUUGAUCCUAAAUUAAACUACUUGUUUUUAAUUUUGUAAAACCUCAACCUAAAUUACAUAUAUAUGAAAAUCUUUGAAUUAAUGUUCAAAUUUCUAAGACAUAUCAACCAAAACAAAACCUUAAUCAUAUCCUGUACUUUUAUUUAAUUCAAUUAUUAGAAAGAAUGUGAGAUGGGGAUACAUAAACAGAUACCACAUUCCCUACAAAAAGAUCUAAACAUAGAAUGCCUGGUUGUAAAUCUGUAAAACAAGAAAAAAAUGCCUUUCCAUAAAAAAAAUUCUUAUUGCACCUUAUAAAUUGAGGUUAUAGGUUAUAUGUUAACAAGAUAAGUAUAUGUUAGAUUAAUUUAUUAUAAUUAGUACUUUUCAUAUCUGAUGGAAUAAGUGACAAAAAAUUAUAUAAAAAAAGCGAUCUCAAGCUGAAAUAUUUGAGGAAAUUGCAAAUCAUUAUCAAUCAUUCAAAUAUCUAGCAGAUCAUAAAAGGCAAGCAUAAUAAAACAUGCUACAAAAACAAUUGAUUGUAAAUAACUGAACAUGUUUGAAAAUGUAAAAUGAUUUUUUGGGAGUAAUUUUUCCAAAAAUAUAGACUUUAUUUGAAUGAUUAAUCGAAUAGCAAAGAAUUACUCCUUAAGAGUUACUCUACUAAAAGGGCUAAAAACUGCAGAUUUCAUUACCACCAAGUUGACUCAAACUCUUUCAUAGUAUUCAUAACAACAUACUAAAAUUGCCAAAUUUCCCUAGUUAUUAAUAAUACACAUGGAAUAGUAAUUAAAUGUCAGUAUUUAGUUUGCAUUUUAGACUAGACCCCAUCUAAUUAACUAUAGAGAUGACAACCUCCAGCUAAAGGUAAAAUUAUAGACUACAUGCAAGCAGAUUCAAAUGAGAUUGAAUUUUUGUCUUGCAAGACAAUAAUAUAUCAACAAACUCAAUUGAUAACUAAUAAAUUAAACAUUGAUUUUUUUCAAAUAUUAACAAACCAAAUUGAAUAAUUUUCAAAUAAACAACAAUUUCAUGGAAUGCUUAAAAAAAAUAGUACAACAUAAAUAGAUAUACUUUAUAGCAAAUAUCUUAUAUUGCUCUUUAUAUUAUCACAGGAACAAGGAAGUAAAAUAAUUGAACGAGAGAUUCUUGUUAUGAACAGGGUAUACAUCAGCCUGGCAAUAUUACACUGAAACAACAACAUUUAUGGUAAGGGUUAUUCCAUUAAAAUGUAUUUGGGAGGGUAGGAAGGGAAGUUUAAUUAUUGAAUGUGGGUCAUGGUUCUUUUUUCAGUAUGCGUUUGUUUACUUUGUUCCCAUUAUGCAAAAUAAGCUUUAAAAAAUGGUUUUCUUGGUUGAAGGGAUAUUUUGAAAGUCUCUUCCUACUCUCUGCAAAAUACUUGACUGGAAUAGCCGUAACAGGUAUGUAAAUGGGCUAUCUUUUAUAAAUUGUUUGCUUAGAACUAGAAACCAGAUGCUCCGCAGGGCGCAGCUUUAUACGACCGUAGAGGUUGAACCCUGAACGGUUGGGGCAAGUAUGGACACAACAUUCAAGCUGGAUUCAGCUCUAAAUUUGGAAUUUG
This 1581-nucleotide long non-coding RNA is filed under the name Mytilus galloprovincialis (Mediterranean mussel). The record is from RNAcentral. Lineage: Eukaryota; Metazoa; Mollusca; Bivalvia; Mytilida; Mytilidae.